UACGUAGGUGACCAGCGUUGUCCGGAUUUACUGGGCGUAAAGAGCGCGCAGGCGGUCGUUCAAGUCGAGUGUGAAAGCCCCCGGCUCAACUGGGGAGGGUCAUUCGAUACUGAUCGACUCGAAGGCAGGAGAGGGAAGCGGAAUUCCCGGUGUAGUGGUGAAAUGCGUAGAUAUCGGGAGGAACACCAGUGGCGAAGGCGGCUUCCUGGCCUGUUCUUGACGCUGAGGCGCGAAAGCUAGGGGAGCAAACGGGG
Molecule: ribosomal RNA, 254 nt
Filed under: uncultured bacterium
Lineage: Bacteria
Description: partial 16S ribosomal RNA
Rfam family: Bacterial small subunit ribosomal RNA
Source: RNAcentral